UGGGGAAUUUUGCGCAAUGGGGGAAACCCUGACGCAGCAACGCCGCGUGAGUGAUGAAGGCUUUCGGGUCGUAAAGCUCUGUCAGUGGGGAAGAAAUGGAUGUCGCUAAUAUCGGCAUUUCUUGACGGUACCCACAAAGGAAGCACCGGCUAACUCCGUGCCAGCAGCCGCGGUAAUA
RNAcentral lists this ribosomal RNA (178 nucleotides) under uncultured Geobacter sp. RNAcentral's name for it is "partial 16S ribosomal RNA". It matches the Rfam family "Bacterial small subunit ribosomal RNA", at positions 355 to 525 of the family's 1533-position model. The record is from RNAcentral. Lineage: Bacteria; Pseudomonadati; Thermodesulfobacteriota; Desulfuromonadia; Geobacterales; Geobacteraceae.